Molecule: long non-coding RNA, 16876 nt
Filed under: Triticum aestivum (bread wheat)
Lineage: Eukaryota; Viridiplantae; Streptophyta; Magnoliopsida; Poales; Poaceae
Description: long non-coding RNA (TAES_LNC026665)
Source: RNAcentral
GCAGGGCUCGCGGGGCGGCGGUGGUGGCCAAGUACGGGGAGAAGAGCGUCUACUUCGACCUGGACGACAUCGCCAACACGACGGGGCAGUGGGACCUGUACGGCAGCGACGCGGCGUCGCCCUACAACGGCCUGCAGAGCAAGUUCUUCAACACCUUCGCCGCGCCCUUCACCAAGCGAGGGCUGCUGCUCAAGGUCCUGCUGCUCGGCGGCGGCUCCCUGCUCGCCUACGUCAGCGCCACCGCCUCCCCCGACCUGCUCCCCAUCAAGAAGGGGCCCCAGCUGCCCCCCACCCCGGGGCCACGUGGCAAGAUCUAAGUAGAUCUGCAAUCAAGGCCUUCUUCCUCCUCUCGCCUCGUGCUUGUGUACCAUGGAUCUGAUGGAUUCCCCCCUAUGGCCCUAUCUAUGUCCUCUGUUGAUACUUGAUCUUUGUACUACUUCGUAUCAGUAAUUGGAAAGAUGCUGCUUGCAUGAUGCAUGCAAUUACUACUAGUAGAUCAUUUGCUCUUUGACGAUUGCCAGUACUGUUUUUUGCAGUACCAUGUUUUUGCUGUACUGGCGGUUUAAAUUACUACUUCCUCAAUACCUGCGACAAGUAAUCCAGAACGGAGGGAGUACUUGCCUAAUGUGUGCGAUGGUACGGGUACAGUGCCGAUCUAUACUUCUUCCCCUGGGUUUGGUUUGUGCUUUAUAUAUAAAAAGCAGGGCGAAAGCCUGUUUCGAGCCAAUAUGUAUUGUCCGGCCGGCCUACUCAUCACUCUGCGUGCACAGCUGCACACGUACAUGGACGCAGCUCCUCUGACGUACGGCGCACUCGCUGACGUGUGGACCCGGACCCACGCGUCAGUGGCCCAACGUCAGGUGGCCGUACGUCAGGGGAUCCGGCUCCCACGUACUUACUCCCUCCGUCCGGAACUACUAUCCAUUUCUGCGACAAAUAAUUCGAAACUAAUAGUUGUUGCUGCUGCCGGCAGGAUAUUAGUUCUUACCCCGCUUGUUUCGUUAAUGUCUGAUAAAUAUAUCAAGCAUACAUUGCGUCGUCGAUUUUAUGCAAAAAUCCAACUGACAUUAUAACACUCCUACAAGACACUGGAAAGGCUACGCUUAACAAACAUUGCACGGAAAACAGGGUCUGGAAGAGGUCAAGGUUAACUAGUACAGAAGCAGGCUAGAAAACUACAUGUCCAUUUCUCAGGCUCAGUGUGAAAAAUCUCAACAUUAUUUNNNNNNNNNNNNNNNNNNNNNNNNNNNNNNNNNNNNNNNNNNNNNNNNNNNNNNNNNNNNNNNNNNNNNNNNNNNNNNNNNNNNNNNNNNNNNNNNNNNNNNNNNNNNNNNNNNNNNNNNNNNNNNNNNNNNNNNNNNNNNNNNNNNNNNNNNNNNNNNNNNNNNNNNNNNNNNNNNNNNNNNNNNNNNNNNNNNNNNNNNNNNNNNNNNNNNNNNNNNNNNNNNNNNNNNNNNNNNNNNNNNNNNNNNNNNNNNNNNNNNNNNNNNNNNNNNNNNNNNNNNNNNNNNNNNNNNNNNNNNNNNNNNNNNNNNNNNNNNNNNNNNNNNNNNNNNNNNNNNNNNNNNNNNNNNNNNNNNNNNNNNNNNNNNNNNNNNNNNACCCCCUACGGCAGCGCGCCACUAGUGUCUAGAUAUGGGGCUCCGUGCUCCGCCCAGAUUCUCAAGCUUGUCCAGGUAGGAGUACCUCUUGGUGCCGAUCUUGGAGACCUUGCUCAGCUUCUUGCCCUGGGGAUCCUGUGAUUCUAGUAUCAUGGUCUCGAUGGUGCCGUCCCGAGGCCCCACGAGGUCGAACAAUGUCGAGUUAACCGGCUCCAUUCUUCCCAGCCUCCCCAUCUCGUCCUUGGCGUCUUGGACCACCGUGUCCGUGUCAUCGGAUGUCAAGCUCGGCAUCCGCAACGAGUCCCCUUGCUUGGGGUCUUGGGUGAGGGAGUCGGCGUGGAGAACGUCCUCGAUGCGGGACAUUACGGUGUAGGCUAGGCUCUCGAGCGUCCUUGAGUAGCUCUCCAGAAUGGCACUCCCAACAUCCUGCAAAAACAACACGUACGGAAACACAAAUGUAUGUAGUUGGCAUUAUAUAUAGUAAUGAAAAGGUACUCCUUUUCUAAAAAAGAGUAAUGAAAAGGCACUGUAGCAAUUCCGAAAACAAAGUGAGAAUUGUGGGUACCCUGUUGUAUUGGAUUUUGCUGAUGUCCAGAGCUGAUUGGGAAAUCCCUGGAAACCUGUGCUUGAGUAGGAGAAGAACGUUCUCCGCCCUCCCCUCGAAUCGGCCCCGCUUCUCGUGGCUAACGCCAUGGCCCCACUUGCCAUCCCUCUGCAUUUUCUUCUGCCAAAUGACGACCGACGCUUCAAUCCGGUUCUUCAGAUCGACAAUGUUGUACUCGUUCGACAGGUCAACCGUUGCUAUGAGUUCUUCGGGGUUGAAAUAAUCGUCGGUUAUAAGCUUGUACAUCGAGUCCCCAAGGGUGGAUUUCCCAUUCUACAAAGCAUAAGAGUAAGAGGAUAUUGUCAUGUGAGAUCUCAGUAAUGUAGUCAAGUAAGUUAAAUGUGAUUGUUGUAUAAUAACGUCCUUGUGUUCUUAUGGAUCACCUUAGGCAGAGACUCCAUGUAUGCUUCUGGAACAUCCAUCUCCAUGAUAACAUUAGCAUUGAUGGCCAUUGUUGCCUUCAAGACUUGGUUGACGAGCUCCUUCUGGUGCUGAAGCCAUCUCCUCGUGGAGUCUGACAGACCCUCGGGAGGGACCUUGACCGUCGGGAGCCACCAUUUGUCACUCUGCUCCGCCGCGUCGCCCUUCUCGGAUUCAUUGUCAUUUUUCUUCACAUACCAAAACUCCUGCUUGUCGCCGAAACUAUCGAGAUAGUCCUGUUCGACAGCAGAAAUGCGCAACGGUAACAAAUUAGCAACUCAGCUAUCUUCACAUCAAUCUCGUAAACAAUUCAGAGAAGGGUGUGGAAUUCUAUAUUACAAGGAGCAUUCCGUCAAGCUUGCGCAAUGCCGGGAUGUUCAUCAGCAGAUCUCUGCGUUGCUGAGUUAUCAUAACCUGCUUGUCGAAAAAGAAUAAAAAUGUACUAUUGUAAUUAGUUGUAAACUUGUAAUUCGAUUUGCAUAACGAGGUUGCAUAGUACAGGCCCUAAGCAAGGCAAAAAAAAAAGUGUGACCGCCUAAGGCUCCAGUAGGCACAACCCACAUUGUACGUCUUUACUAACCAAUUUAUUUUUCUUUGUAGGACCCUAACCACAUUGUACAAUCAUGUUUUUUUUUGAAAAGGAGGAAUACCCCCGGCCUCUGCAUCUCUUGAUGCACACAACCAUAUAUAAACAAGCACGUGUAAUGAAAACAGGGGUAGGGGUUUGUUUCUGACCUCCAUGGUGCUGCCAUCCUCAACCACCUGGCGUGAAGGAACGAACUCGACGAUGAAAUCGGUGACAGAGAGAAGCCAGUCGAUCUCCUUUGUCCACCGAGCCUUCGGCUCAGGGGCCAUCGGUUGGAGACGCCGCUGCUCACCGAACACGGAAGCUGCAACAGCGUGCCACCACGAGAAAGGAUACAUAAGCGGUAAGAUUUUCCACAAGAAACCAAGCACGAAUUGAAAUGAUUUGAAAUCCAUAAAUCAUGCAUCAAGCACGUGAUAGGGCUAGGGCUCCCGAUUUAGUCGUGCAUGUACUCAUUCGCGGGGUCGAAGAUUGUCUCGUGUACAAAUAAGUGUUUUCUCUAAUGUCCACUAAUUUAUUUUGAGGAUUAAAAUCAUUUAACCAAUUACUUUCGUUUGGAUUUUGUGGUGACAAGUACUCUCAUUUCUGAGACCCAUUUUUUCACACACCAAAAAUUCCAUUAAUUUAGCGCGCACUACAGGCCUUUGAAACAUGAGGGUAGGGGAGUGAUUACCUGCUAUAUUGGCGGUGGCACAAAAUGGAAAGAAUUGAAAGGAAAGGGAGUGAUUACCUGCAAGAUUGGUGAUGGCGUUGGAGAGAGCGAGAGCCGAGGAGACCCCUUUGCCGGUGCCGGACAUGUCCUCCCCCAGCAGCAGCUUGGAGAACUUCUCCUUCACCAUGUCCGUGUCUGCAAUUGGAAUGGAUCGGCCACCGGAGCAAAUCAUUCGUGGAACAAGACCGGGACGAUCAUCCGCAUUCACCGGGACGCUAGCUUAGAGAUGAAGAGCGGCGACGAACCUGAAGGCGGGCCCUCGGGCCGUGGAGGGGGCUUCUGGGGCGGCGCGGCGGACGUGGACGGCCUUGGCCCGUCGGAAGGGCCGCCGGCGAGCGGCGGCGGGAUGAGGUCGACCGAAAGCUUGCCCCUGGACCCGCAGCUGCUCCUGGAGAGCAUCCGCCUGGCGCACGGCAGCGUCUGGGCCUUGGACGAGGGCUCCAUCGUGGGGCUCCCCGGGUCGAGGGCCACGUCCUCCGACGAGACCGAGGAGAGCGGCGAGGAGGGCGUGGACGACGCCUUCCCGGACUUGCGCCGCCUGAAGGAGAACCUGGAGUCGCGGCCGUGCCCGGUCUUGAGGAACGGCGGCGCCAUCACGCGCUCAUCGCAGGCAUGCACGGGUCAGCACCGCAUCCCGCGGGCACGCGCGCACGUACCCGUACGCCGACGUGCGGCGGGCCGGCCGAGGUCAGAAGGGGAGAAAGAAACACCGGCCGUCCGUCCGUCCGUCCGUCCGUCCGACCUCGCGCCCCCGCGCGCGAGAGAGAGAUGGGAGGAGGGAUGCCCGGUGGCUGGCGGGCGCGCGUGGCUGGCUGGCUGGCUGGCUAGAUUCGGGGCGGGGGAGACGGUUUUGCGAGGGAGGCGAGGAGAGGAAAGAGGGGUGGGGAGGGACGUGUCUGUGGAUGGAUGGCGCGAGCUGCAGCCGCGCCGCGGGAAAUGGGUCCGUUUUGUGUGUGUCGUCCAGCCCAGGUCGGCCACGCUCCCUCCCUCCAAACAUGGGCAAUGGGAGUGGUUUAUCGUUGGAGAUGUUGUACCACGCUGCUAUUUUUAAUCUCACUCGCCCGUGGUUACUUUUCUCCAUCUCGGUUGGUGGUUAAUUACCACGUGCUACUCUUAGGAGUACAGCCUAACAGUAACAGUACUUGGGAUCACCAAAAUCAUGGUGAAUCAUAAUAGCUCAGCCUAAGCAGUAGUACUUGGGAUGUCCCCUGGCGGCUCCCGUCUAGGGUUUGAGAUACCUCCGGUGGCGACACCGUGAGGCUGUUCCGGACUCUACCACCAAUCCCGAUCCUCCCCGACUUGGUACUCGGGUUGAUUAAGGGGAUAGCCUCGCUAUCUACCCGGCCUUGGUCCCUGUCUUGGGUUGCUAGGGUUUUGGUGGAUCGGAAAACGCAUCUCGCUAGGGUUUGGCUAUGGCAGGAUCGGGCUCGCAAUCGUCAGCGGGAAGUGUGGCCCCUGGGGGGAAACCCAUCGGGGUUGAAGAGAUGAUCGGAAAACUCAAGUUGCAAGAGCGGGAGGAAGACGAUCUGAUCUUUGAAGAGGACUUCCCGGAUGAGAUCGAGGAAGUGGAGUUCAUGGCGCUGGCGACGGUGCAUACGAACAAGCCCUUCAGCAGGGGGUCGUUCUAUGAUACGACGAGGCUCGCUUGGAGCCUAGCGCGGGGUGUAACUUUCAAACCAUUAGGUGAGAAUCUAUUCUCUCUGACGGUGAACUGUUUGGGAGAUUGGAAGAGGGUCACGGAGGAGGGGCCGUGGCUGUUUCGUGAUCAUGGAGUGCUAAUUGAGAAGUAUGAUGGAUAUACCAGAUAUGAUGAGGUCGUGCUGGAUAAACUGGCAGUUUGGAUUCAGAUUGUUGAUCUCCCUCCGCUCUACAGGAAGGAUAACGUUGUUCGGUCGCUGGAAAAAGGUAGGAACGAUGGAGAAGGUAAUGCUAAAUCCCAGAUGGGGUGAGGGAAGGAUUGUAAGGAUCAGAGUUAAGCUUGACUUUAAUGAACCACUGAUGAGAUAUGUCUCUAUCACAAAGGACGGGAAGAAGGUGUAUUACUCGGUGUUAUACGAGAAGAUGCUAGUUUUCUGCUAUGUGUGUGGCUAUAUGGGUCAUACAUACCUCGAGCAUGGUAAUGGGAAGCAUGAUCUGCAGACUAUGGAGUGGGGAGAAUUCAUAUUAGCACCUCGCCCAGGAGAAAGGAGGCAAACAGGUCAAAACUCGAGGGGGAGGCAGAAAGAGAGGACUACCACUGGGGGCCUGAGGAGGACUAAUGGCCCGGAGGAUGAUGGUCUGAAAGACACUGCUACUAGUCCUAUCAAAUCCAUUAGCGGGACGAUUGGGGACAAAUUCUCUGGACGUAAGAGGCUCACUUAUGAGGAGGUAAACACGGAUCUAGCAGCUCCUGCAGCGAUGCUGCCAGCACAAACACAGGAGAGCCCGAUAGCUAUGUCGACUACGCUAGUGGUCCACUCACAAGGCAUGCAGGUCACGAAGAAGGAAGAUGAGGAUGGUGACACUUCAUCGCACGAUUCGAAGAGAUCGAAGAAGGACAACUUGGCUGUGAUGGAGGCCAGCCACAAUUUAUCGGCGAGCUCCGAGAAGGGGCUCGACAGGUCGCAAUGAAAAUCAUCGUGUGGAACUGUCAUGGGAUGCGUAAACCUGCGACAGUUCGGGCGCUCUUGGGGAUCCAAGAGCGAAUAAACCCAGAUGUGUUGUUCCUGUCUGAAACACACAUGGAUAAGGCUAAGGCAGGGAAACUAAGAAGGAGGUUAGGGUAUGAUGAGAUGGAAGUUUUGGAAAGUGACGGCAGAAGUGGAGGAUUGACCAUGCUUUGGCAAUCUAGCUUGGGAGUCUCUUCUCGGGCUGUUCAUGCAAACUAUAUAGAUAUACAAAUAAAGGAGGUGACACCUGCGGGAUGGCGCUUCACAGGUUUCUACGGCAAGCCAAGUAGUGACCGUAAAUACCUGUCGUGGGAAUAUUUGCGUGGUCUGCACACAUUGGCUGAUCUGCCAUGGAUAGUGGGAGGAGACUUUGAUGAAAAUUUGCAAGCUCAUGAGAAAGAAGGGGGGCGGCACGCCCCCAAUGAUGUAUGCAGGCUUUUAGCAAUGCGCUGAGCGAUUGCGGGCUUGACGAUCUCGGUUAUUCGGGAGACAUUUUCAGCUGGCGUAGAGGCCGAAUUUGGGAGCGAUUUGACAGAGCUGUCUCGAGUAGCUCUUGGGCUGAUCUAUUCCUAGCCUAUGGUGUUUCUAAUGAACCGUUUAAUAAAUCAGAUCACCGGUCGAUCCUAAUUGAUACUGAUUUCCAGCAAGGCAUACAACCAAGGGGUUCGCCGGGACCGAGGAAAUUUGAAGCAAGGUGGCUUGCGGAGGAAGAUGUGGAGGUGAUAGUUCAAGCGGCCUGGGAUAGAGCAAAAGCCAGGGGGACCGAGCCUUACUCACAAGUGACAGGGGAGAUACAUGCUGCUUUGCGCACUUGGGAUAAAGAGUCUCUAAAAGGCCAGCGAACCCGGCUAAGGAAACUUCAGAAAGAGCUGAAUGAGGUGCUGUCGGGCCCGCUGUCGGACGAGGCUAUGGCUCGACAACAUGAACUCCACCUGCAGAUCGAGAACCUACUUGAACAAGAAGAGAUAUACUGGAUGCAGCGAGGACGAGCUGGUUGGCUCUGCCGUGGCGAUCAAAACACGGAUUUCUUUCACCGUGCAGCCACGGGGAGGCGCAAGAAGAACUUUAUCAAGAAAUUGAAAGGAGAAUCGGGGGACUGGAUCGAGGAUGAGGACCAACUUAAGGGGCAUGUGGUGCGCUAUUUUGGUGGACUGUUUUCCUCCGAAGUGCAAGACCCGGACCAAAGUGUCUUGGACAAGGUAAAAGCCAGGGUAUCUGCUGAGAUGAAUGAGGACCUGGUGAAGCCCUAUACCCGAGAGGAAGUUAAAGGAGCAUUGUAUAAUAUUGGUGACCUCAAGGCACCGGGCCCUGAUGGGUUGCAUGCGGUGUUUUAUAAGAGAUUCUGGCACAUAAUUGGCGAUGAUUUAAUUGAUGAAGUAUUGUUGACAGUAAAUAACAGGAAGAUACAAGAAGGAUGGAACAACACUACAAUUGUUCUUAUCCCAAAGGUGGAGAACCCGGAGGUUCAAAACUGCUAUCAAACAUGCUAAAAAAUUUGUUGCCUGAGAUUAUUUCCCCUAAUCAAAGUGCCUUUGUCCCCGAGCGUUUGAUCACGGACAACUUCUUAGUGGCUUUUGAAUCUUAUCAUGCUAUCAAGAGGAAGAGAACGGGAAAGUUUGGAAUAUGUCCGGUAAAACUUGACAUGCAUAAGGCCUAUGAUAGGGUCUAGUGGGUUUUUCUUGAGAGAAUCAUGCUUCGGCUGGGCUUCACACCAGAUUGGGUUGCUCCCAUUAUGGAGUGUGUAAGGUCAGUGAAGUACCAAGUUUGUUCUAACAACUCUCUCACAGAUUUUUUUGUCCCUUCGCGAGGUCUACGCCAAGGAGACCCGCUAUCACCUUACUUGUUCCUAACUUGUGUGGAGGGCCUCUCAAGUUUGCUUAAUCACGAGGAGGAGAUUGGUGAUCUUAUAGGAGUGAGAGUAUGCCGGGAUGCACCGGCUGUUUCUCAUCUUCUCUUCGCAGAUGACUUCCUCAUUUUGAUGCGAGCAGAUGCUAGCAACUCCACGAGCCUUCGCCACACCCUUGAUGAUUACUGUGUUGCCUCGGGCCAAUUGGUAAGUGAGGCCAAAUCGAGCAUUUUCUUCAGCCCUUGUACUACGGUAGAAGUAAGGGCGGAGGUGUGCACUACUCUGAAUAUCAUGGCAGAUGCUAUAACGGACAAGUAUUUGGGGUUGCCCCCGAUUGUUAGGGUAGAGAGAAUUGAUUGUUUCCAACAUAUUGUGGAUAGAAUUCUGAAUAGGAUCGGAGGAUGGAAGGAGAAGAUGCUCCCUUUUGGAGGAAAAGAAGUGUUGUUGAAGGCUGUCAUACAAGCCAUUCCUUCAUAUGCCAUGCUAGUCUUUAAGCUUCCAAAACAAAUUUGUAAUGCGAUAACAACCGCUAUGUCACAGUACUGGUGGGGGGAUGAGGAGAAGAAGCACAUGCAUUGGUUCGCGUAGUGGAAGAUGUGCAUGCCAAAGAGCAAUGGAGGUAUGGGUUUCAGAGAUGUUCACUGUUUUAACUUGGCCCUCCUAGCUAAACAGUGCUGGAGAUUGUUAGCAGAACCAGAUUCCUUGUGUGCCAGAGUAUUGAGGGCAAAAUAUUUUCCGAAUGGAGACCUACUGAAUUGCCCCCUCAAGAAAGGGAGUUCUUACACUUGGCAGAGCUUGUGGAGUGGUGUUCAGACCUUCAAAAAAGGAUACAUAUGGAGAGUGGGAGAUGGCACACAAAUAAACGUAUGUGAUGAUCCUUGGGUGGCUAGCAGCCCAAACAGGAAGGUAAUGACUCCACGAGGUAAUAUCGUUCUCACUAAAGUUUCUAAGUUGAUUAACAUGGAGAAUCGGUGCUGGGAUGAAGAACUUAUCAGACAUAUCUUUUGGCCCAUUGACACAAAUCGUAUUCUGAAUAUACCCCUUGCAACGGGGAUGAUGGGGGAUUUUGUUUCAUGGCACUAUAAUAAAACUUUCGGUCAAGACGGCUUACCAUAUGGAGUGGGAUCACCAACAUGGAUGAAAGUUGAGACAAACACAUUCAGUAUUGUCCUCAAGUACUAGUCCAGUCUGGCGCAUUCUAUGGAAGCUGCGAGUACCGGAAAAAAUUAAAGUGCACGUGUGGCGAGCUUUGUAUGGAGCAAUCCCUUGCCGGGGUGUUUUGGCAAAUCGACAAAUGAUUACAACUUUGGACUGCCCAAUCUAUGAGUCAGACUGUGAGAGUGUUCGCCAUGCAUUCUUCAGUUGCCACAGGGUGCAGGAUAUUUGGACAAAGCUUGGCCUGAGUUCUACUAUAAACGAACUAUGUGAAAUUGAGUCGGAAGGAGCGUCGGUUCUAGGAUAUUUGUUGUUGAUGCCCAAUGGCACUGUCCCGUCGCUUCCGAAUGUAUCCAGGAAGGAGCUAGUGGCGGUCGCCAUGCAGUACAUAUGGUGGGAACGCCGGAGAUUCACCCAUGGUGAGACCAUUCAGGAGCCUGCUCGCUCGGCCCAGGCUAUUGCAACGCUGACCAAGAAUUUCAUGAGAGCUAAAAAGCAAUGAGGAGGGCGGAUCUAGAGGCAUGGAUGGACAAGACCAGCUGAAGGAUUCGUCAGUUUAAAUGUUGAUGCCUCUUUUGAUGCAGAUAGCGGCACCGGUGGAACGGGUGCCAUUAUACGGGACUCCACGGGUGUGUUCAUUGCGGCAUCGGCAUGCAACGUUCCCUUUGUCGAGGACGCAGCAAUUGCGGAGGCUAGAGGCCUCAAGGACGGGCUAAUCCUCGCGAACAAUAUUGGAUGCAACAAGGUGGAGAUCCGAGCUGAUUGUAUGGAGGUGAUUGAAAUCAUGCAACAUGGAGGGAAUUCCUUUGGUCCAGCUGCAACCAUCUAUGAGGAAUGUACCUUCUUAUGUCGUAAUUUUAUUUAUGUUUCUUUCUAUCAUUGCCCUAGGGAGGCCAAUAUGGCGACAGAUUUGCUGGCUACAAAGUCGAAGCACUCGAGAACUAUUGUAUGGCAGAACGAGGCUCCAGACUUUUUGCUUGAUGUACUCUCAAAUGAUGUAGCCCUUUUCCCACAAGAAAUAUAAACCGCCAUGAUAGCUUUUCCCUCAAAAAAAAAACAGUAGUACUUGGGAUCACAUCCAUGCCCCCUCCCCCCAGCACUCGAAGAAAACCUAUGUCCAGUUCCUCGGAUUAGAUGGCAACAGGGUCACAGCGUUGUUUCCUUUCAUCAAGGCAUUGUCUUAGUUGCUCGCGGCGUCACCAGUAUAUUAAAAUAGGAGAUGUUGGAUGUCGUGUUAGUUUAGGUUGUUUCUCGAGACGUAUGUCCCAAUGUACGACACCGUUAUCACUACCUCUAUGGCUUCUUCCUCCGACCCGCCCAGGUCCUGUAACUCACUUGCCGACCUUCUACGUGCUUCCUUCAUGACUUCUUCCUCCAGCCUGGACGGGUCUUGCAAUCUACUUCCCGACUCUUCUAGGCGCUUAGAGAAACUCCAAUGCGCCGACACAUUAUGCCCACGUGCGUCCGUUUGAAUCGAAACGGACACCAAAUGCAGCCCAAUGCGCCAACGUAAAUGGACGAGUGUCUGUUUUUGUCCACCCGCGACCCAUUUCCAACCCAAAUCCGAGUCGGAGUUUGCGUCAGUGCAGAUGAUACGUCUCCAACGUAUCUAUAAUUUUUUAUUGUUCCAUGCUAUUAUAUUAUCUGUUUUGGAUGUUUAUGGGCUUUACUUUACACUUUUAUAUUAUUUUUGGGACUAACCUAUUAACCCAAAGCCCAGUGUCGGUUCCUGUUUUUCCCUUGUUUCAGUGUUUCGAAGAAAAGGAAUAUCAAACGGAGUCCAAACGGAAUGAAACCUUUGGGAGCGUGAUUUUUUGAACGAAUGUGAUUCAGGAGACUUGGACUUGAAGUCAAGGAAGCUUCAAGGUGGCCACGAGGCAGGGAGGCGCGCCUGCCCCCUGGGUGGGCCCCUCGUAGCUCCCCUGAUUGACUUCUUUCGCCUAUAUAUGUCCAUAUACCCUAAAAACAUCAGAGAACAGAAUAGAUCGGGAGUUCCGCUGCCAGAAGCCUCCGUAGCCACCGAAAACCAAUCUAGACCCGUUCCGGCACCCUGCCGGAGGGGGGAACCCCUCUCUGGUGGCCAUCUUCAUCAUCCCGGCGCUCUCCAUGAUGAGGAGGGAGUAGUCCACCCUCGGGGCCGAGGGUAUGUACCGGUAGCUAUGUGUUUGAUCUCUCUCUUGUGUUCUUGAGGUGGUACGAUCUUGAUGUAUCGCGAGCUUUGCUAUUGUAUUUGGAUCUUAUGAUGUUUCUCCCCCUCUACUCUCUUGUGAUGAAUUGAGUUUUCCCUUUGAAGUUAUCUUAUCGGAUUGAGUCUUUAAGGAUUUGAGAACACUUGAUGUAUGUCUUGCAUGUGCUUAUCUGUGGUGAAAAUGGGAUAUCACGUGAUCCACUUGAUGUAUGUUUGGUGAUGAACUUGCGAGUUUCGUGACCUCGUGAACUUAUGCAUAGGGGUUGGCACACGUUUUCGUCUUGACUCUCCGAUAGAAACUUUGGGGCACUCUUUGAAGUUCUUUGUGUUGGUUGAAUAGAUGAAUCUGAGAUUGUGUGAUGCAUAUCAUAUAAUCAUACCCACGGAUACUUGAGGUGACAUUGGAGUAUCUAGGUGACAUUAGGGUUUUGGUUGAUUUAUGUCUUAAGGUGUUAUUCUAGUACGAACUCUAGGAUAGAUUGAACGGAAAGAAUAGCUUCAUGUUAUUUUACUAUGGACUCUUGAAUAGACCGAUCAGAAAGAAUAACUUUGAGGUGGUUUCGUACCCUACCAUAAUCUCUUUGUUUGUUCUCCGCUAUUAGUGACUUUGGAGUGACUCUUUGUUGCAUGUUGAGGGAUAGUUAUACGAUCCAAUUAUGUUAUUAUUGUUGAGGGAACUUGCACUAGUGAAAGUAUGAACCCUAGGCCUUAUUUCAACGCAUUGCAAUACCGUUUGUGCUCACUUUUAUCAUUAGUUACCUUGCUGUUUUUAUAUUUUCAGAUUACAAAAACCAUUAUCUACCAUCCAUCUUGCACUUGUAUCACCAUCUCUUCGCCGAACUAGUGCACCUAUACAAUUUACCAUUGUAUUGGGUGUGUUGGGGACACAAGAGACUCUUUGUUAUUUUGUUGCAGGGUUGUUUGAGAGAGACCAUCUUCAUCCUACGCCUCCCAAGAAUUGAUAAACCUUAGGUCAUCCACUUGAGGGAAAUUUGCUACUGUCCUACAAACCUCUGCACUUGGAGGCCCAACAACAUCUACAAGAAGAAGGUUGUGUAGUAGACAUCAAGCUCUUUUCUGGCGCCGUUGCCGGGGAGGUUAGUGCUUGAAGGUAUAUCUUUAGAUCUUGCAAUCAAAUCUUUUAGUUUCUUGUUUUAGCACUAGUUUAGUCUAUAAAAGAAAACUACAAAAAAAUGGAAUUGAGGGUACCUCAUAUGCUUAAUCUUUUUAAUAUCUUUCAUGAGAAUAAGGAUUCUGAUAAUUGUGCUCAAGUGCUAGAAGAAGAAUGCAUGAGAAUGUUUGGCACUAAAUACUUGAAUGAUGAGCAUGAUUGCAAUGUUGUUAGUAUGAAUUCCUUGAAUAUCCAUGAUGCUAAUGAUAUGCAAAGCCACAAUCUCGGGGAGGCUAUGAUUGAUGAAGAUGAUAUUUUUUGUCCCCCAAGUUUUGAUGAGCAAAUUUAUUAUGAUGAAAGCAUCCCUCCUAUCUAUGAUGAUUAUUGUGAUGACACAUAUGCUAUAAAGAAUAAUGAUAUCCAUGAAACUUGUCAUCAUGAUUUUAACUUUCAAUUGGAUUAUGCCUCACAUGAUAGUUAUUUUGUUGAGUUUGCUCCCACUACUAUUCAUGAGAAGAAUUUUGCUUAUGUGGAGAGUAGUAAAUUUUCUAUGCUUGUAGAUCAUGAAAAGAAUGCUUUAUGUGAUAGUUAUAUUGUUGAAUUCAAUCAUGAUGCUACUGAAAAUUAUUAUGAGGGAGGAACAUAUGCUUAUAGGAAUUGCAAUAAUAUCAAGUUUCCUCUCUAUGUGCUUAAAGUUUUAAAGUUAUCCUUGUUUUACCUUACUAUGCAAGUUGAUUCUUGUUCCCACAAGUUGCUUGCUCACAAAAUCCCUAUGCAUAGGAAGUGGGUUAGACUUAAAUGUGCUAGUCAUAUUCUUCAUGAUGCUCUCUUUAUGCUUCAAUUCUUAUCUUUUAUGUGAGCACCAUUGACAUCAUCAUGCCUAGCUAGGGGCGUUAAACGAUAGAGCUUGUUGGGAGGCAACCCAACUUUAUUUAUGUUCCUUGCCUUUUUCUCCUGUUUAGCAAUAAAUAAUUUAUCUAUCAUCUGUUAUUAUUGAGUUUUUAUGCUUUUAAUUAGUGUUUGUGCCAAGUAGAACAGUUGGGAAGACUUGGGGAAAGUCUUUUUGAUCUUGCUGUAAAAAACAGAAACUUUAGCGCUCACGAGAAUUGCUGCCAUUUUUAUUUGGAAAGUGUUAUUUAGUUAAUUCUUUUGGCAGAUGAUUAAUAGAAAAAUUCCUCACGUCCAGAAAUUUAUUUUAGAAUUUUUGGGUUCCAGAAGUAUUUGAAACCUACAGAUUACUACAAACUGUUCUGUUUUUGACAGAUUCUGUUUUCUAUGUGUUGUUUGCUUAUUUUGAUGAAUCUAUGCGUAGUAUAGGAGGGUAUGAACCAUAGAUAAGUUGGAAUACAGUAGGUUUAACACCAAUAUAAAUCAAUAAUGAUUUCAUUACAGUACCUUGAAGUGGUGUUUUGUUUUCUUUCGCUAACGGAGCUCACGAGAUUUUAUAUUUUGAGUUUUGUGUUGUGAAGUUUUCAAGUUUUGGGUAAAGAUUUGAUGGACUAUGGAAUAAGGGGUGGAAAAGCCGAAGCUUGGGGAUUCCUAAAGCACCCCAAGGUAAUAUUCAAGGACAACCAAGAGCCUAAGCUUGGGGAUGCCCCGGAAGGCAUCCCCUCUUUCGUCUUCGUUCAUCGGUAACUUUACUUGGAGCUAUAUUUUUAUUCACCACAUGAUAUGUGUUUUGCUUGGAGCGUCUUGUAUGAUUUGAGUCUUUGGUUUUUAGUUUACCACAAUCAUCCUUGCUGUACACACCCUUUGAGAGAGACUCACAUGAUUUGAAAUUUAUUAGAAUACUCUAUGUGCUUCACUUAUAUCUUUUGAGCUAUAUAGUUUUUGCUCUAGUGCUUCACUUAUAUCUUUUAGAGCACGGCGGUGGUUCUAUUUUAUAGAAAUAAUUGAUCUCUCGUGCUUCACUUAUAUUAUUUUGAGAGUCCUUUAGAACAACAUGGAAAUUUGCUUUUAGGAAUAAUAUAAAAACUUUCAUACAAGUGCAUUGAAUACUAAGAGAAGUUUGAUACUUGAUGAUUGUUUUGAGAUAUGGAUAUGGUGAUAUUAGAGUCAUGCUAGUUGAGUAGUUGUGAAUUUGAGAAAUACUUGUGUUGAAGUUUGUGAUUCCCGUAGCAUGCACGUAUGGUGAACCGUUAUGUGAUGAAGUUGGAGCAUGAUUUAUUUAUUGAUUGCCUUCCUUAUGAGUGGCGGUCGGGGACGAGCGGUGGUCUUUUCCUACCAAUCUAUCCCCCUAGGAGCAUGCGUGUAGUACUUUGUUUUGAUAACUAAUAGAUUUUUGCAAUAAGUAUGUGAGUUAUUUAUGACUAAUGUUGAGUCCAUGGAUUAUACGCACUCUCACCCUUCCACCAUUGCUAGACUCUCUAGUACCGCGCAACUUUCGCCGGUACCAUAAACCCACCAUAUACCUUCCUCAAAACAGCCACCAUACCUACCUAUUAUGGCAUUUCCAUAGCCAUUCCGAGAUAUAUUGCCAUGCAACUUUCCACCGUUCCGUUAUUAUGACACGCCUGAUCAUUGUCAUAUUUCUAUGCAUGAUCAUGUAGUUGACAUCAUAUUUGUGGAAAAGCUACCGUUCAUAAUUCUUUCAUACAUGUCACUCAUGAGUCAUUGCACAUCCCGGUACACCGCCGGAGGCAUUCAUAUAGAGUCAUAUCUUGUUCUAAGUAUUGAGUUGUAUUUCUUGAGUUGUAAGUAAAUAAAGUGUGAUGAUCAUCAUUAUUAGAGCAUUGUCCUAGUGAGGAAAGGAUGAUGGAGACUAUGAUUCCCCACAAGUCGGGAUGAGACUCCAGAUGAAAAAUAAAAAAAAGGAAAAGAAAAGAGGCCAAAAGAAAAAAAAAGAGAAAGGCCCAAAUAAAAAAAUGAAUGAAAAAAAUGAUGAAAAAAAUGAGAGAAAAAGAGAGAAGGGGCAAUGCUACUAUCUGUUUACCACACUUGUGCUUCAAAGUAGCACCAUGAUCUUCAUGAUAAAGAGUCUCCUAUGUUGUCACUUUCAUAUACUAGUGGGAAUCUUUCAUUAUAGAACUUGGCUUGUAUAUUCCAAUGAUGGGCUUCCCCAAAAUGCCCUAGGUCUUCGUGAGCAAGCAAGUUGGAUGCACACCCACUAGUUUCUUUUGUUGAGCUUUCAUACACUUAUAGCUCUAGUGCAUCCGUUGCAUGGCAAUCCCUACUCACUCACAUUGAUAUCUAUUGAUGGGCAUCUCCAUAGCCCGUUGAUACGCCUAGUUGAUGUGAGACUACCUUCCUCCUUUUUUGUCUUCUCCACAACCACCAUUCUAUUCCACCUAUAGUGCUAUAUCCAUGGCUCACGCUCAUGUAUUGCGUGAAGAUCGAAAAGGUUUGAGAACAUCAAAAGUAUGAAACAAUUGCUUGGAUUGUCAUCGGGGUUGUGCAUGAUUUAAAUAUUUUGUGUGAUGAAGACAGAGCAUAGCCAGACUAUAUGAUUUUGUAGGGAUAGCUUUCUUUGGCCAUGUUAUUUUAAGAAGACAUGAUUACUUUGUUAGUAUGCUUGAAGUAUUAUUAUUAUUUUUGUCAAUAUUAAACUUUUGUCUUGAAUAUUAUGGAUCUGAAUAUUCUUGCCACAAUAGAGAAGAUUACAUUGAUAAAUAUGUUAGGUAGCAUUCCACAUCAAAAAUUCUGUUUUUAUCAUUUACCUACUCGAGGACGAGCAGGAAUUAAGCUUGGGGAUGCUGAUACGGCUCCAACGUAUCUAUAAUUUUUGAUUGUUCCAUGCUAUUAUAUUAUCUGUUUUGGAUGUUUAUGGGCUUUAUUGUACACUUUUAUAUUACUUUUGGGACUAACCUAUUAACCCAGAGCCCAGUGCCAGUUCCUGUUUUUCCCCUUGUUUCAGUGUUUCGCAGAAAAGGAAUAUCAAACGGAGUCCAAAAGGAAUGAAACCUUCGGGAGCGUGAUUUUUGGAACGAACAUGAUUCAGGAGACUUGGAGUUGAAGUCAAGGAAGCUUCGAGGUGGCCAUGAGGCAGGGAGGCGCACCUGCCCCCCC